RNAcentral lists this ribosomal RNA (504 nucleotides) under uncultured bacterium. Its description in RNAcentral is "partial 16S ribosomal RNA". It matches the Rfam family "Bacterial small subunit ribosomal RNA", at positions 28 to 507 of the family's 1533-position model. The record is from RNAcentral.
GACGAACGCUGGCGGCGUGCCUAAUACAUGCAAGUAGAACGCACAGUUUAUACCGUAGCUUGCUACACCAUAAACUGUGAGUUGCGAACGGGUGAGUAACGCGUAGGUAACCUGCCUGGUAGCGGGGGAUAACUAUUGGAAACGAUAGCUAAUACCGCAUAAUAUUAAUUAUUGCAUGAUAAUUGAUUGAAAGAUGCAAUUGCAUCACUACCAGAUGGACCUGCGUUGUAUUAGCUAGUAGGUGAGGUAACGGCUCACCUAGGCGACGAUACAUAGCCGACCUGAGGGGUGAUCGGCCACACUGGGACUGAGACACGGCCCAGACUCCUACGGGAGGCAGCAGUAGGGAAUCUUCGGCAAUGGACGAAAGUCUGACCGAGCAACGCCGCGUGAGUGAAGAAGGUUGUCGGAUCGUAAAGCUCUGUUGUAAGAGAAGAACGGGUGUGAGAGUGGAAAGUUCACACUGUGACGGUAUCUUACCAGAAAGGGACGGCUAACUACGUG